RNAcentral lists this small nucleolar RNA (97 nucleotides) under Mustela putorius furo (domestic ferret). RNAcentral describes it as "Small nucleolar RNA SNORA1 (ENSMPUG00000023450.1)". It matches the Rfam family "Small nucleolar RNA SNORA1", at positions 38 to 135 of the family's 135-position model. Rfam says of the family: ACA1 is a member of the H/ACA class of snoRNA that guide the sites of modification of uridines to pseudouridines. The record is from RNAcentral. Lineage: Eukaryota; Metazoa; Chordata; Mammalia; Carnivora; Mustelidae.
AGAUUUUAUUUAUUUAUUUGUGGCUACAUUGAGACACAGGUUAUGCUUCCAUCACAGCAAGUUUAUUGCUGUGGUGACAAUGAGGCCUGUAACAUUU